UCGUUUAGGGAGAGUUCUCAUGAGCAAUAAACUGAAUAUUUAUUAUUUUAUUUCUAUGCGGUAUAGAUAUAAUUUUAUGUUCUCUAGCGGCGAUAUGUAGCACGCAAUUACAGUGUAAUGACCACUUUAUAGCACAUGUGCGCC
Nanorana parkeri is the source of this 144-nucleotide long non-coding RNA. RefSeq lists it as uncharacterized. NCBI's taxonomy places the organism in Eukaryota, Metazoa, Chordata, Amphibia, Anura, Dicroglossidae. The transcript is spliced from 3 exons. The record is from RefSeq and is a predicted model, not a curated record.